Molecule: ribosomal RNA, 373 nt
Filed under: uncultured organism
Description: bacterial SSU rRNA
Rfam family: Bacterial small subunit ribosomal RNA
Source: RNAcentral
CGAAGGGUGCAAGCGUUACUCGGAAUCACUGGGCGUAAAGCGUGCGUAGGCGGUUCGUUAAGUCUGCUGUGAAAGCCCUGGGCUCAACCUGGGAACUGCAGUGGAUACUGGCGGGCUAGAGUGUGAUAGAGGAUGGUGGAAUUCCCGGUGUAGCGGUGAAAUGCGUAGAGAUCGGGAGGAACACCAGUGGCGAAGGCGGCCAUCUGGAUCAACACUGACGCUGAGGCACGAAAGCGUGGGGAGCAAACAGGAUUAGAUACCCUGGUAGUCCACGCCCUAAACGAUGCGAACUGGACGUUGGUUGCAACUUGGCAAUCAGUGUCGAAGCUAACGCGUUAAAGUUCGCCGCCUGGGGAGUACGGUCGCAAGACUG